Molecule: ribosomal RNA, 491 nt
Filed under: uncultured soil bacterium
Lineage: Bacteria
Description: bacterial SSU rRNA
Rfam family: Bacterial small subunit ribosomal RNA
Source: RNAcentral
AGGACGAACGCUGGCGGCGUGCUUAACACAUGCAAGUCGUGGGGGGGGAGUGGGGCAACCACAACCUCACCGGCGAACGGGUGCGUAACACGUGAGCAACCUACCGAUUUCUGGGGGAUAGCCGGCCCAACGGCCGGGUAAUACCGCAUACGCUCUUUGAGGGGAGUCCCUUAGAGAGGAAACCUCCGGGGGAAAUCGAGGGGCUCGCGGCCUAUCAGCUUGUUGGCGAGGUAAUGGCUCACCAAGGCUAUGACGGGUAGCUGGUCUGAGAGGAUGGCCAGCCACAUUGGGACUGAGAGACGGCCCAGACUCCUACGGGAGGCAGCAGUGGGGAAUCUUGCGCGAAUGGACGAAAGUCUGACGCAGCGACGCCGCGUGCGGGAGGAAGCUCUUCGGGGUGUAAACCGCGUGUUGCCCGGACGAAUGCUGGAUUUUUGAUCCAGUUGACGGUACCGGUGAGGAGCACCGGCUAACUCUGUGCCAGCAGCCGC